GACGAACGCUGGCGGCGUGCUUAACACAUGCAAGUCGAACGGAAAGGCCCUGCUUUUGUGGGGUUCUCGAUUGGCGAACGGGUGAGUAACACGUGAGUAACCUGCCCUUGACUUUGUGAUAACUUCAGGGAACUGGGGCGAAUACCGGAGAGGAGCUCCUGCUGCAUGGUGGGGGUUGGAAAGUUUCGGCGGUUGGGGAUGGACUCGCGGCUUAUCAGCUUGUUGGUGGGGUAGUGGCUUACCAGGGCUUUGACGGGUAGCCGGCCUGAGAGGGUGACCGGCCACAUUGGGACUGCGAUACGGACCAGACUCCUACGGGAGGCAGUAGUGGGGAAUAUUGCACAAUGGGCGGAAGCCUGAUGCAGAAGCGUCGCGUGCGGGAUGACGGCUUUCGGGUUGUAAACCGAUUUCGCCUGUGACGAAGAGUGAGUGACGGUAAUGGGUAAAGAAGCACCGGCUAACUACGUG
This 468-nucleotide ribosomal RNA is filed under the name uncultured bacterium. Its description in RNAcentral is "partial 16S ribosomal RNA". It matches the Rfam family "Bacterial small subunit ribosomal RNA", at positions 28 to 507 of the family's 1533-position model. The record is from RNAcentral.